Molecule: ribosomal RNA, 465 nt
Filed under: uncultured bacterium
Lineage: Bacteria
Description: bacterial SSU rRNA
Rfam family: Bacterial small subunit ribosomal RNA
Source: RNAcentral
CCUACGGGAGGCAGCAGUGGGGAAUAUUGCACAAUGGGCGCAAGCCUGAUGCAGCCAUGCCGUGUGUAUGAAGAAGGCCUUAGGGUUGUAAAGUACUUUCAGUUGGGAGGAAGGCGUUGAUGCUAAUAUCAUCAACGAUUGACGUUACCAACAGAAGAAGCACCGGCUAACUCCGUGCCAGCAGCCGCGGUAAUACGGAGGGUGCAAGCGUUAAUCGGAAUUACUGGGCGUAAAGCGCACGCAGGCGGUUGAUUAAGUUAGAUGUGAAAUCCCCGGGCUUAACCUGGGAAUGGCAUCUAAGACUGGUCAGCUAGAGUCUUGUAGAGGGGGGUAGAAUUCCAUGUGUAGCGGUGAAAUGCGUAGAGAUGUGGAGGAAUACCGGUGGCGAAGGCAGCCCCCCGGACAAAGACUGACGCUCAGGUGCGAAAGCGUGGGGAGCAAACAGGAUUAGAUACCCCCGUAGUC